This 154-nucleotide unclassified non-coding RNA is filed under the name uncultured Coleophoma. RNAcentral describes it as "sequence contains ITS1". The record is from RNAcentral. Lineage: Eukaryota; Fungi; Ascomycota; Leotiomycetes; Helotiales.
AUGAGAACUUGCCCUUCGGGGUAGAUCUCCCACCCUCUGUUUACAUACUUUGUUGCUUUGGCGGGCCGCUUCGGCUACCGGCUUCGGCUGGUGAGUGCCUGCCAGAGGACCACAACUCUGUAUUAAAUGUCGUCUGAGUACUAUAUAAUAGUUA